This 928-nucleotide ribosomal RNA is filed under the name Lacticaseibacillus casei. Its description in RNAcentral is "bacterial SSU rRNA". It matches the Rfam family "Bacterial small subunit ribosomal RNA", at positions 45 to 936 of the family's 1533-position model. The record is from RNAcentral. Lineage: Bacteria; Bacillati; Bacillota; Bacilli; Lactobacillales; Lactobacillaceae.
UGCCUAAUACAUGCAAGUCGAACGAGUUCUCGUUGAUGAUCGGUGCUUGCACCGAGAUUCAACAUGGAACGAGUGGCGGACGGGUGAGUAACACGUGGGUAACCUGCCCUUAAGUGGGGGAUAACAUUUGGAAACAGAUGCUAAUACCGCAUAGAUCCAAGAACCGCAUGGUUCUUGGCUGAAAGAUGGCGUAAGCUAUCGCUUUUGGAUGGACCCGCGGCGUAUUAGCUAGUUGGUGAGGUAAUGGCUCACCAAGGCGAUGAUACGUAGCCGAACUGAGAGGUUGAUCGGCCACAUUGGGACUGAGACACGGCCCAAACUCCUACGGGAGGCAGCAGUAGGGAAUCUUCCACAAUGGACGCAAGUCUGAUGGAGCAACGCCGCGUGAGUGAAGAAGGCUUUCGGGUCGUAAAACUCUGUUGUUGGAGAAGAAUGGUCGGCAGAGUAACUGUUGUCGGCGUGACGGUAUCCAACCAGAAAGCCACGGCUAACUACGUGCCAGCAGCCGCGGUAAUACGUAGGUGGCAAGCGUUAUCCGGAUUUAUUGGGCGUAAAGCGAGCGCAGGCGGUUUUUUAAGUCUGAUGUGAAAGCCCUCGGCUUAACCGAGGAAGCGCAUCGGAAACUGGGAAACUUGAGUGCAGAAGAGGACAGUGGAACUCCAUGUGUAGCGGUGAAAUGCGUAGAUAUAUGGAAGAACACCAGUGGCGAAGGCGGCUGUCUGGUCUGUAACUGACGCUGAGGCUCGAAAGCAUGGGUAGCGAACAGGAUUAGAUACCCUGGUAGUCCAUGCCGUAAACGAUGAAUGCUAGGUGUUGGAGGGUUUCCGCCCUUCAGUGCCGCAGCUAACGCAUUAAGCAUUCCGCCUGGGGAGUACGACCGCAAGGUUGAAACUCAAAGGAAUUGACGGGGGCCCGCACAAGCGGUGGA